Molecule: long non-coding RNA, 138 nt
Filed under: Peromyscus maniculatus bairdii (prairie deer mouse)
Lineage: Eukaryota; Metazoa; Chordata; Mammalia; Rodentia; Cricetidae
Description: Rhabdomyosarcoma 2 associated transcript conserved region 2 (ENSPEMG00000003386.2)
Rfam family: Rhabdomyosarcoma 2 associated transcript conserved region 2
Source: RNAcentral
UUUGCAGGCUCAUGGAGUCAGCAAAGAAGAGGAGGUUUAUGAACAGCAGCCCUUGCACUCUGCACAGGAUGGCUGCAGGGAAUGCUUUUCGGUCUUGCCCAGAGAAGUGGGCCAGGGUCACUGAGAUACCUCUGAGAU